UACAGAGGGUGCAAGCGUUGGUCAGAAUUAUUGGGCGUAAAGCGCGUGUAGGCGGCUUUGCAAGUCGGGUGUGAAAUCCCUCAGCUUAACUGAGGAAGUGCGCCCGAAACUGCAGAGCUUGAGUACCGGAGAGGGUGGCGGAAUUCCCCAAGUAGAGGUGAAAUUCGUAGAUAUGGGGAGGAACACCGGUGGCGAAGGCGGCCACCUGGACGGAUACUGACGCUGAGACGCGAAAGCGUGGGGAGCAAACAGG
RNAcentral lists this ribosomal RNA (253 nucleotides) under uncultured bacterium. RNAcentral's name for it is "partial 16S ribosomal RNA". It matches the Rfam family "Bacterial small subunit ribosomal RNA", at positions 524 to 776 of the family's 1533-position model. The record is from RNAcentral.